RNAcentral lists this ribosomal RNA (567 nucleotides) under Meyerozyma caribbica. Its description in RNAcentral is "eukaryotic LSU rRNA". It matches the Rfam family "Eukaryotic large subunit ribosomal RNA", at positions 38 to 610 of the family's 3401-position model. The record is from RNAcentral. Lineage: Eukaryota; Fungi; Ascomycota; Pichiomycetes; Serinales; Debaryomycetaceae.
GCAUAUCAAUAAGCGGAGGAAAAGAAACCAACAGGGAUUGCCUUAGUAGCGGCGAGUGAAGCGGCAAAAGCUCAAAUUUGAAAUCUGGCACCUUCGGUGUCCGAGUUGUAAUUUGAAGAUUGUAACCUUGGGGUUGGCUCUUGUCUAUGUUUCUUGGAACAGGACGUCACAGAGGGUGAGAAUCCCGUGCGAUGAGAUGCCCAAUCCUAUGUAAGGUGCUUUCGAAGAGUCGAGUUGUUUGGGAAUGCAGCUCUAAGUGGGUGGUUAAUUCCAUCUAAAGCUAAAUAUUGGCGAGAGACCGAUAGCGAACAAGUACAGUGAUGGAAAGAUGAAAAGAACUUUGAAAAGAGAGUGAAAAAGUACGUGAAAUUGUUGAAAGGGAAGGGUUUGAGAUCAGACUCGAUAUUUUGUGAGCCUUGCCUUCGUGGCGGGGUGACCCGCAGCUUAUCGGGCCAGCAUCGGUUUGGGCGGUAGGAUAAUGGCGUAGGAAUGUGACUUUGCUUCGGUGAAGUGUUAUAGCCUGCGUUGAUGCUGCCUGCCUAGACCGAGGACUGCGAUUUUAUCAAG